RNAcentral lists this long non-coding RNA (281 nucleotides) under Brassica napus (rape). Its description in RNAcentral is "long non-coding RNA (BNAP_LNC004384)". Lineage: Eukaryota; Viridiplantae; Streptophyta; Magnoliopsida; Brassicales; Brassicaceae. The record is from RNAcentral.
UCCGGAACCAAGUGAGUCGUCUCUUCGGUCUAGAAAUAUACAGAUCGUGAGAUGGAAAAUUUAGGAGCACCUGGAGAUUCUCGGUGGUUUGGCGAUGGGAGUGGCGCGUGCGCAUUACAGCUCCUUCUCCUCUUUAAGGAGUGUGCUGUCGGCAAGGGAGAUACCUGCCUGAAGUAGUAGAUUGAACUAUAGGAUUGUCUCCGCUUGGUCUGUUGUUCCGUCGGUUCCCAUCAGAUCUGAUGGUUAGAUCGUUUGUUUUAUGCGUCUUAGUGACCAGGGUG